Long non-coding RNA from Equus asinus (donkey), 1584 nucleotides. The record is from Ensembl. NCBI's taxonomy places the organism in Eukaryota, Metazoa, Chordata, Mammalia, Perissodactyla, Equidae.
GGAAAACCACACACGGGUACAGCCUAGGCCGGAUCUCAGGCCAAGUCGUCAGGGUGGCAAGAUGAUGGCGGAUGAGAGGAAACUUGUUCUGGGACCGCACCGCCCCCCCCCAUCGCCUCUCUGGCUGAGAAGAGGGCUGGGGAGCGGCCCGAGUCUGAGCUACGACAGAUUCCCCUGUGGCUCAACCCGCAACCUCCCAUCCUGCCAGACCAGACCCCUUGUCUAAAAACCUCCACUGGAGGAGCUCUUCCACCUGACUCGGAAAGGAAACACCAGCCCCGCCUCAGCCUCACACCCACCACCACCACCACCACCCGCCCCCCCCCCCGCCCCACUCUCCUCCGGACCCAGAUACCUAACAGAGGGAACAAAAAUCCAAAAAUCCUGCUGCUCUCCUUCUACCACCUCCACUUCAGAAGAGUCAGUCUCCCCCGAACACCUCAGACUCUGUGACUUCCCGCGGCCUCCCUUUCCCCGUCCCCAUUCUCUCCCCGGACGGGCCCCAUCUUACACUUGAACGACAGCUCCACCGCUCGGGGCAGCUGGACACGAUGUCCCAAAGUGGCCCGGACGGUAGCCUGGUCGAUUCCAAAGGACCCACGCACGCAGUCGGCCAUAAACGUGGUGUGGAGAUCGUGGACGUUUGCGGGCCUCUGAUGAAAUCGCUGCUCCGGGGACCCCGGCGUCUAGGACCCGUCUUCUCCGUGUUCUUCACACCGUUGCUCCUGGGCCGGUUAUUCUCUUCCCUCUCACUGACCUUAACGUUUUGUCUCUGCCAUUGAAUUUUGACUGUGCGAAUGUGACUUGCCGCUGUAGGGCUGCGUGGAUCUCUCAGGCAUCCUGCUGUGCCGUGCGGGGGGGAGGGGGGAAUCCUUGGUGGGUGGGUCGAUAGACGUCCCUUUGGUUGUGCCCUGGAGGGGAGAGACAGAGGGGACGACUCAAUCCACCACGAACGCUGAUGUCGCUCCGAUAAACCUGUAGCGGUGAUUCUAGUUUAUGGCCCGUGUCCUGAAAAUAACUUCCCGAAGGGCCAGCCCGGCGGCACAGCGGUUAAGUUCGCACGUUCCGUUUUGUCAGCCAGGGGUUCGCAGGUUCGGAUCCAGGGUGCGGACGUGGCGCCGCUUGGCGAGCCACGCUGUGGUCAGCGUCCCGCCUAUCAAGGGGAGGGGGAUGGGCACGGAUGUUAGCUCGGGACCACUCUCCCGGGGCAAAAAGAGGAGAAUUGGCAGCAGGUGUCAGCUCGGGGCUCGUCUUCCUCGAAAAAUAAAUUAAUUAAAUAAAUAAAAACAACUUCCCAAACCUCUCUGAUAACUUGAAGCUUUGAAGUUUUGCGAGGUGAAAUCAGGUGAUAAAAAAGUCCACGGACGGGGGCGGCCCCGUGGCCGAGUGGUUAAGUUCACAAGCUCCCCUUCGGCGGCCCAGGGUUUUGCCGGUUCAGAUCCCGGGCACGGCACGGACACGGCACCGCUCGUCGGGCCGUGUGGAGGCGGCGUCCCACAUGCCACAACUGGAAGGGCCCUCAACUAAGAUAGACAACUAUGUCAUGGGGGGGGGGAUUGGGGGAGAAAAAUCGGGAGGGGGGGA